This 2842-nucleotide long non-coding RNA is filed under the name Sorghum bicolor (sorghum). RNAcentral's name for it is "long non-coding RNA (SBIC_LNC009403)". Lineage: Eukaryota; Viridiplantae; Streptophyta; Magnoliopsida; Poales; Poaceae. The record is from RNAcentral.
UGCCCAAGAGCUCUGGAUCUAGGCCCUCGGCAAAGGCCCAGUCAACAUAGACUAGGCCGACUAACCCUAACUGGCCCACUCACCAUGCGCAUGCCCACACGUCCUCGGCCACCUCGCGACCCGCACCGUCGCUGUCGAAUCUGAAAUUUCAAGUAUCUUUUUCAUGGAACACAUCGAGGACCUUGUGGGAAAAGUAUUUUUAAAUUAUAUAAAAUGUAAAUGAAUUUUGAAAAUCACGAAACUUGUUGUGGUGUCAUGUUAUCGCGUGUAUAGGUUGUGAUAAAAAAUUGUAUCUGAUGCGUAAAACCUAGACGUCACAUCACAUGCGGAGAUAAUCUACGGAAAUGUUUUGACUACAUAUAUCUAUAGAAAUGUUUUCACUACAUAUACUCAUUAAGUGAGUGUGCAUAUCUCGGACAUGGAGACUAAAUGAAAUCUGUUAGUUUUUUUUUCUAAUUACUCACUUCGUUCCAAAUUAUAAGAUGUUUUGGCAUUGUCCAAAUUCAUUCUUUAUGCUACGAAAUGCUAAAAUAUCUUAUAAUUUGGAAGUAUAGCAUACCCUGUUCAAGAUUUUGGAAGGGAGAACUUGAAUGCCACAGGAAGCCCCUUUUAGAUCUGCUCAGUGGUGGUUAUGGCGGUCAGGGUCAUCACGGGUGGCCGCUGCAUUCCAUGCGGUGUUGCUAACGCCCGGACGUCCGGUGCGUGAGUGUGUCAGACGCCGGGCCUUCCCCCCGCUCGCUCUUCAUAUAGAAAAUAAAAAAAAGAAAAUUAGGUUUGCUAAGCCGAUUAUGUCCGUCCCCACGUUCCUUCCCUCCACUCGUCGUACAAGACUCGCCCUGUCUCCCACGUGCACGGGAUCUACUUGCCCCUAACCUCGCCGCCCCCUAAGCCGAUCCCGUCCGUCCCCGCGUCCCUAUUCCUCCACUCCCCGUGCAACAACUCGCCCUGCCUCCCACAUGCACGGGAUCUGCCCGCCACCAACCUCGCCGGCCCCCAGCACCUCCGAUCCGCCCAUCGCCAGCUCACCCCUACACCCCGUCCAGCACCGGCUGCAACAACAAAAAAACAAGCUAUUGAAACAAUGAAAGAACAUCUGAUGAAACAAACGGAAAAAAACUGCUGCAACAAACAAAAAAAUCUAUUGCAACAUCGAAAGAACAUAUAAUGAAACAAAACAAAAAUAUGAACUACAACAUAAAAAAAAUAUCUACUACAACAUUCAAACACAUUCACUGCAACAUCAGGGGGGAUCUGCAGCAACAAUGAAAAAGAGCUAUUGCAACAUCUCAAACACUGCUACGGCAACAUCAGAAAAUGCCUGUUGCAACAAUCCAAAAAAAAAUACUAUUACAACAUUUUCAAGUCAUCCGUUGCAACAUUGAAAAAGAACAAUUCCAACAACGACGAGAUAUGACUCUCAACGGCUCGCCGAAACCCUAGCCACCGCCGCAUACGUUAGAUCCAGACCCAGAGAGUGGAGAACGAGAACGAGGAUAAGGCCAAGCUUGGUCUAGAGGGAGGAGGAGGAGGAGGAGGAGGAGGAGGAAGAAGAAGAAGAAGAAGAAGAAGAAGAAGAAGAAGAAGAAGAAGAAGAAGAAGAAGAAGAAGAAGAAGAAGAAGAAGGUUGAGAUCUAGGCGAGGACCUCACCUACCUCGUGGGGACGUGGGGAAGCCGCCGUCGUUGCUCUCCCUCUCCAAAUGCAUGGAGGCCGCGGCGAAAAGUGAGAACAACCGGGGUAGGUGCGGGCACUAGUAUGGGGGGAGGAGCCGUCGGGGUGGUUGAGGAUGAUGUCGCGGUGGAGGAGGAGAACGUCGAGGUUGAGGACGAUGCGGUGCGGGCGGAGAUGGCCGUGGUGGCCAGUAGAGUGGCUAAGUGCGCCGGUGGAGAUGGAGGGCAUCCAAGCGGAGGUGGCAUGGGCGGCGCAGGCGAGUGGAGUCGUAGAGUGGGCGUGUGAUGCGGGCUGGGUUCAUGAAUGAGUGGAUGAAGAUGAGCGGUUGGGUCCAUAAAUGAGUGGAUGAGGAUCGUCCGGACGGAAGUCACAGGAUGGACGCCCGCAACAGAGCAUUACUGCAUUCCAUGGCCUCGGCCUCCACACAGGGGUGAGAUGCCUUGUCGAGCACCUUCGCCGGCUGAUGUGGCAAUAUUUUUUUUAGGAAAUCCGUGGAGCAUUACUCCCCAUGUCACAUGUAUAUAAAGUAAAAACACAAGUGCCAAUUAUAGGGGUGUUAAGAGCAUCUCCAAGAGCUUAGCUAAAAUGAGUAGCUAAAUUCUAAUAUUUAGUCAUUUUGUAAAAUAGAUAACUUCUUAAAAAAGAAGAGGUUACCAACAGCCUUGCUAUCAGAUAGCUAGUGCCAGUGGUUGGCUAUAUAUGGCCAACGAAACUCAAGGGAUAGCAAACUUUCUAUUUUACAAAACCAAAUAGCACAUCUGUUGGAGCCUAUUUUUCUACUACAAAAAUUCUAAAAGGCCUUCAUAAUAAGAAUAGUAAAGCUGUUGGAACUAGGCGCUAACCACAAAGAUAUAAGAAGGAAAAGAAGAAGGGAAUAUUAGCAGGGGACGAAUUGGAAGCCGGGGAGUAUGGAAUGCCGAGUCGCCGACUGCGGUGCCGCGGCCUUUUUGAGUUUGGGCCUUCUUCAUGUUAGGCCGGCCAGCUCGUAACGGUGGGUUCAAUUUAGCCCAGGAGCAGAUUCCGCUCAAAGCAAUAUAAUAAGGCCUGGUUUAGUUUCUAAAAAGUUUUAAGAUUUCAUAUCCCAUCGAAUCUUUAGACAUAUACAUAAAGCAUUGAAUAUAGAUAAAAUAAAAAUUAAUUGCACAAUUUAUCUGUAAUAGCAAAUAUGCCCG